Molecule: ribosomal RNA, 969 nt
Filed under: Escherichia coli
Lineage: Bacteria; Pseudomonadati; Pseudomonadota; Gammaproteobacteria; Enterobacterales; Enterobacteriaceae
Description: partial 23S ribosomal RNA
Rfam family: Bacterial large subunit ribosomal RNA
Source: RNAcentral
CGGGACACGUGGUAUCCUGUCUGAAUAUGGGGGGACCAUCCUCCAAGGCUAAAUACUCCUGACUGACCGAUAGUGAACCAGUACCGUGAGGGAAAGGCGAAAAGAACCCCGGCGAGGGGAGUGAAAAAGAACCUGAAACCGUGUACGUACAAGCAGUGGGAGCCUCUUAAUGGGGUGACUGCGUACCUUUUGUAUAAUGGGUCAGCGACUUAUAUUCUGUAGCAAGGUUAACCGAAUAGGGGAGCCGAAGGGAAACCGAGUCUUAACUGGGCGUUAAGUUGCAGGGUAUAGACCCGAAACCCGGUGAUCUAGCCAUGGGCAGGUUGAAGGUUGGGUAACACUAACUGGAGGACCGAACCGACUAAUGUUGAAAAAUUAGCGGAUGACUUGUGGCUGGGGGUGAAAGGCCAAUCAAACCGGGAGAUAGCUGGUUCUCCCCGAAAGCUAUUUAGGUAGCGCCUCGUGAAUUCAUCUCCGGGGGUAGAGCACUGUUUCGGCAAGGGGGUCAUCCCGACUUACCAACCCGAUGCAAACUGCGAAUACCGGAGAAUGUUAUCACGGGAGACACACGGCGGGUGCUAACGUCCGUCGUGAAGAGGGAAACAACCCAGACCGCCAGCUAAGGUCCCAAAGUCAUGGUUAAGUGGGAAACGAUGUGGGAAGGCCCAGACAGCCAGGAUGUUGGCUUAGAAGCAGCCAUCAUUUAAAGAAAGCGUAAUAGCUCACUGGUCGAGUCGGCCUGCGCGGAAGAUGUAACGGGGCUAAACCAUGCACCGAAGCUGCGGCAGCGACGCUUAUGCGUUGUUGGGUAGGGGAGCGUUCUGUAAGCCUGUGAAGGUGUGCUGUGAGGCAUGCUGGAGGUAUCAGAAGUGCGAAUGCUGACAUAAGUAACGAUAAAGCGGGUGAAAAGCCCGCUCGCCGGAAGACCAAGGGUUCCUGUCCAACGUUAAUCGGGGCAGGGUGAGUCGA